Non-coding RNA from Acanthosepion pharaonis, 112 nucleotides. NCBI's taxonomy places the organism in Eukaryota, Metazoa, Mollusca, Cephalopoda, Sepiida, Sepiidae. The record is from the annotation of a GenBank genome assembly.
UACAGCCAUAUCACAUUGAAACACCAGUUCUUGUAUGAUCACCAAAGUUAUGCAACGUCAAGCCUGGUCAGUAGCUAGAUGGGUGACCGCUUGAGAAUAACAAGUGUUGUAA